Non-coding RNA from Myotis davidii, 75 nucleotides. NCBI's taxonomy places the organism in Eukaryota, Metazoa, Chordata, Mammalia, Chiroptera, Vespertilionidae. The record is from Rfam.
GGCAGUUCUCAGGUGAUGUGGCCUGGAAUCAGGUUCCCUCCUCUCUGGUUCUGGGUGCCUCACCCAAGAACUGCA